CCUGCAUCUGUGGAAUACAUGAAUAGACAACGAAUCAUCCCAAAUUAAGGAGGUGGACUUUGAAAGCAAGAUUUAUGAUUUUUUCCCCUUUUCCUCUUUUUGUGAGUGUGUAUGUGUAUGCUUCUGUGUGAGAUUUUGCCUGUAUAGCUUUGCUUCCACCAUAGGUCCUAGGGUUCUAUCCAUCCGUUUUUUUUUUAAUUUUUUUCUUUUUUUCUCUUAAUAAUUAUUUUUUUAUUUUAAUAACUUUAUUAUACUUUAUCUUAUUUUAUUUUACUUUAUCUUCCUUCUUUUUUUCCUUCCUUCCCUCCUUCCUUCCUCCCUCUCUCCCUCCCUCCCUCCUUUCUUUCUUUCCUUCUUUCUUUCUUUCUUUCUACUUCUACCAAUUCUUUCUUUCUACUUUUUCUCCCUUUUCUUCUGAGCCGUGUGGAUGAAAGGCUCUUGGUGCUACAGCCAGGAGUCAGUGCUGUGCCUCUGAGGUGGGAGAGCCAACUUCAGGACACUGGUCCACAAGAGACCUCCCAGCUCCACAUAAUAUCAAAAGGCGAAAAUCUCCCAGAGAUCUCUAUCUCAACACCAGCACCCAGCUUCACUCAACGACCAGAAAGCUACAGUGCUGGACAUUCUAUGCCAAACAAUUAGCAAGACAGGAACACAAACCCACCCAGUAGCAGAGAGGCUGCCUAAAAUCAUAAUAAGUCCACAGUCACCCCAAAACACACCACCAGAUGUGGACCUGCCCACCAGAAACACAAGAUCCAGCCUCAUCCACCAGAACACAGGCACUAGUCCCCUCCACCAGGAAGCCUACACAACCCACUGAACCAACCUUAGCCACUGAGGACAGACACCAAAAACAACGGGAACUACGAACCUGCAGCCUGCAAAAAGGAGACCCCAAACACAGUAAGAUAAGCAAAAUGAGAAGACAGAAAAACACACAGCAGAUGAAGGAGCAAGAUAAAAACCCACCAGACCUAACAAAUGAAGAGGAAAUAGGCAGUCUACCUGAAAAAGAAUUCAGAAUAAUGAUAGUAAAGAUGAUCCAAAAUCUUGGAAAUAGAAUAGACAAAAUGCAAGAAACAUUUAACAAGGACCUAGAAGAACUAAAGAUGAAACAAACAACAAUGAACAACACAAUAAAUGAAAUAAAAAAUACUCUAUUUGGGAUCAGUAGCAGAAUAACUGAGGCAGAAGAAUGGAUAAGUGACCUGGAAGAUAAAAUAGUGGCAAUAACUACUGCAGAGCAGAAUAAAGAAAAAAGAAUGAAAAGAACUGAGGACAGUCUCAGAGACCUCUGGGACAACAUUAAA
This is a long non-coding RNA of Orcinus orca (killer whale), 1310 nucleotides long. RefSeq lists it as uncharacterized. The transcript has 2 exons. NCBI's taxonomy places the organism in Eukaryota, Metazoa, Chordata, Mammalia, Artiodactyla, Delphinidae. The record is from RefSeq and is a predicted model, not a curated record.